AGGGGGCCGAAUCCCCCGAGCCCCUUCACCUUUUAAAAUGUGAGUGGUUUUAAAAGGGAAAAACAAAACCGAGCAACAGUACCAAUGCUCUCUUUUUAAACUAGCAACCAGACUGUUGUCAUUCUUCAGAUAUUUAUCCCAUUCCUCUUGGCCCUGCCAUGUUGGGGCCGCAGUUCCUCAGCCCGUGGUAGUUCCCCUUGAAUCUCUCCCAGCAGAAUGCAGCCCUCCCUCUCCCCUGGCUCCCUCCUUCACUCCUUCCCAGUGACCUUGGCUCCCUGAGGCCUUCCUGUGGAACCCAGAGCCACCUUGGCCCAGCGGGCUGAGGACUGUGGCCUGGCUGGCUGGCCAGCGUGGUGCUCCUCAGGACUGUGGCGCUGAGAUGUAACCUGGCCUCCGAGCAGGAACAGGGGCCCCAGCUGGGCAGGAAGCCCACCGCUCUCCACAUAGGAACCACAACCGGGGGUGGGGGGCCCUGCCACGUGAGGUGUCUGAACCACCCUGUCAGACUAGCGGACCCGGCUGUGUCCGGCAGGCUCAGUGUGUCCUCAGGACUGUGACUGGGGGCAGCAGCUUGCUGCACACCCCUCUCCCCUUCUCGAAUGUACUCUGGUCUUACAGUGUGCUACCGGCUCUUUCUUGCCCGGCCAUCACUCUGGAUGUUCUGUGUGCCACACGUGGCUCUGGAUCAGCUGAAUCUUCUGCCCUGAGAUCUGGGGAAUAAAAUGAGAGAAGCUUGAGAGACCGUCAGUGUGGAUUCAAAUGGCCAUGCUUCUUUGGAAUCAGUGUCCAGUGCUGAGCUGAGAAGCAGAUGGAUCCCAGUCUCCUCCACAGGCUGUAGACAGAGUGAGACUGGAGAACGGACAUCAUUGUUGAACUGUGGCUAGAAAGAGACCAUCAUGUUUCUUGUCCUUCUUUGGCCAGACCACCCAGGGAUGUCUGGACAGACGCCCAUGUGGAUGGUGAAGACUGUGUCUGAGUGAGCUGCUGUGUGGGGUUCACUGUGAUGCCAGAGUGUGUCCCAUGGUGACUCUCAGACUCUUCUAGACUCUUCUCUUAGGCAAGAAAGACUGCUGUGUGAUACCUGAGCACAAAGCCAAGAGGCUAAAUUAAGUCUUGUCUUGCUGUAAAGUCCGAGAUUGUCUUUGGCAGAUUUCCAGGGUGUGGCCAGCUCUCUCUGACCCUGGGUACCUGAGCAGGCAGACAAGGAGACCGGGCACCGAACACGCAUGCCAAGGUGACUGGUCAUCUCGUGAGGACCCAGACAUGACCCUGUGGACCAUUCCACAUGAUUUGGAACCCACUUUUUAUUAGCUACCCAUGCCUCUGGCCUUUCUUUCUCUUUUCCCCUGUCCUCCUGACACUGAUAGUUUGUCAUAUAAAUUCCCCUGGUUGUGUUUUUUUUUUCUAGAAAAAAGAAUUAAAAAGCAAAUCAAAACAAAAAAACAGAAACCACAGAUAAGAAUGUAAAUGCCAGUGGCUCCCUGUCAUUUUUCUUGUCGCAGUUUUCCUGGUUUGGUUUCUUCCCUUCUCUUAGAGAAGGAGAAACUGAGGAGGUAUGAAUGUAAUUUAGAAAAAAGUUAGAAGGGGCCUGGAUGUGUCUGCUCCACGCAAGGCAUUUGCACCUCUACGAUCCUAGGGCCUAGUCCUGACAGCUUCCACACCGAGGUCCUGAGGCUGGGAGCCAGAGAUACCCCUCCCAUGUCCUUGACUGUGACCCACCCAAGCCCUUUCCUCUAUAUCCCCUGAGCUGCAGAAAAGAGCGCUGCUUCUGAACGCCAGCCACUGCGUGGGAAGAGAGACGUCUUCAGGGCUGGGACUUGUAGAAGCAGCUGCACUUCCUUUUGAAGCCGUGGGGAAUGAUCCCUGACUUCCAGGGAGAGGUGUGAGAGGGGUAACCUGUGGGAGAGCGCUCCAGUGUCAGUGCUGCCGCUGCCCACGUCCCAUCCAUUCACACCUUCAGCCCACACCUCUCGCCCCCGUGUGUGUCACAGCUUAGGGCUCCCUUGGAGGAGCCGCCCAAGCGGGUGUUUUUUCCAUUCCUGGGAAGAGUGCAUGUCUGUCUCGGGAGUCGGGAAUGUGUUCUCUCUCAUUUCGUUUCAUUUCAGACAUUUAUGAAAGGCACCUUGUGUACAAAGCUCCGUUUUGGCACCAUGAGAGAAACGUGAUGACCUUCGGGGACCCUGUCUCCAAGGACUGUAUAUUCUUAGUUGGGGAGAUGGACUUGUCCACGGGAAGGCAGAGUGAAGAAGCACCCCUGCUGAGCCCCUGGUCGCCAAGCCCUUUUUAGGUCAUGGCUGCUGCACUUGUCUGUUUACCAUCAAAACUGAGCAAGAGUGUAAAAAAGAGACACCCAGCUGGAUCGUCUGCUUGCCAAACAUCAUCCUUUUUGCUCCCAUUGUGUAACUAGAGUCCUGGUUCCUCCUGAUGAUCAGGGUCAAUUACGGCUGCCAGGAUGGUGACUCCUGCUUCUUGCCUGCUAGUCCCUGGGCAUAAGAAGCUCAAAGUGCCUGGUGGCAAGUGUGAAUUAGAGUUCAGCGGGACUUUUGCUAUAACCCCCUGCUGGAAAUAUGUUCUCUUUGAGAAUCAGGACCUCAAAACCCUCAAAGCUCAGAGUUGUGGUGACAGAAAUACCCCAAUGGAGUUAAUGGUAAGUGGAGCCACUCCUUCCUGCACGCCUUGGUUCCUGCACCUAUCUGUCCUUCCUAUUGGGACACAGCACCAUAUUGAUUGUUGAUAAGAGUGUAUGUAAACUGUGUCCUUAGUUGGUAGCAUAUCUGUGCUGGCACCUCAGCUGUGCCUUCACAGGCAUCUCCUCUCUGCUCAAGCUGGUGUCUUCUGGAUGGUACAGAAUGUGGCAGGGCCAGUGGCUCCCAUGGUCAUGUGCCACUGUCAUGCCUCCUUUGCUAUGCAAGGGGUCCUUUGGUCAGCUUCGACAUUAUAUGAGACCCUGUGUCAGACAUUCAGUAAGCACUCAAGAAAGUGGUGCUGGCUGAGGCCCUAUAGACAAAAAAGGCAAACCAUACCCAGCACGCAGCAAUUCCAAUCAAAAUAAAUUGUUGCCAUUUCCAGGAUGGAAGGCAUCCAAUGUAGGCAACUUGUCAUCAA
This is a long non-coding RNA of Camelus dromedarius (Arabian camel), 3105 nucleotides long. RefSeq lists it as uncharacterized. Lineage: Eukaryota; Metazoa; Chordata; Mammalia; Artiodactyla; Camelidae. The record is from RefSeq and is a predicted model, not a curated record. The transcript is spliced from 2 exons.